RNAcentral lists this microRNA precursor (95 nucleotides) under Canis lupus dingo (dingo). Its description in RNAcentral is "mir-8799 microRNA precursor family". It matches the Rfam family "mir-8799 microRNA precursor family". Lineage: Eukaryota; Metazoa; Chordata; Mammalia; Carnivora; Canidae. The record is from Rfam by way of RNAcentral.
AGGGGGAGCACCGGAUCCUGGGCUGUGUCCCCCAGCACCCUGGGAUCCAGGGUCUGCGCCACUGGAAUCGCACUCCCAGGGCCGUGCAGCCCCUC